RNAcentral lists this long non-coding RNA (287 nucleotides) under Elaeis guineensis (African oil palm). RNAcentral describes it as "long non-coding RNA (EGUI_LNC002867)". The record is from RNAcentral. Lineage: Eukaryota; Viridiplantae; Streptophyta; Magnoliopsida; Arecales; Arecaceae.
UUCUUCUCUAUUUUGCUCUUCACAUAUGGAGCUCGCUCUCUCUUCUCCCUUUCCAUUGUCAUGGUGAAGCUCAAGAGGAUCUCGGAGAGCUAGGACCUCCCUUAAGAUGUCCAAGAUUGAGGUCCUCACCCAGGCUUUUUGCAUGCUUUGCUCUUCGUCUUCAGAGCUCAUUCUCUCUUCCUCCUUUUCACUACCACGGUGGAGCUCAAAAUGCUCUCAGAGAAUCGAACCUCAUUCAGGUUGAGCAUAUCGAUACCCACUUACACAUCCACAGCCUUGGACUUAAC